This 390-nucleotide ribosomal RNA is filed under the name uncultured bacterium. Its description in RNAcentral is "bacterial SSU rRNA". It matches the Rfam family "Bacterial small subunit ribosomal RNA", at positions 28 to 419 of the family's 1533-position model. The record is from RNAcentral.
GACGAACGCUGGCGGCGUGCUUAACACAUGCAAGUCGAGCGGUAAGGCCCUUUCGGGGGUACGACGAGCGGCGAACGGGUGAGUAACACGUGGGUGACCUGCCCUCAGCUCUGGGAUAAGCCUGGGAAACCGGGUCUAUACUGGAUAUGACUCCAUGACGCAUGUUGUGGGGUGGAAAGCCUUGUGCGGCUGAGGAUGGGCCCGCGGCCUAUCAGCUUGUUGGUGGGGUGANGGCCUACCAAGGCGACGACGGGUAGCCGGCCUGAGAGGGCGACCGGCCACACUGGGACUGAGACACGGCCCAGACUCCUACGGGAGGCAGCAGUGGGGAAUCUUGCGCAAUGGGCGAAAGCCUGACGCAGCGACGCCGCGUGAGGGAUGACGGCCUGG